AACGAACGCUGGCGGCGCGUCUUAAGCAUGCAAGUCGAGCGGCAAGGGCAGCAAUGCCCCUAGAGCGGCGGACUGGUGAGUAACACGUGGGUGAUCUACCUUUGGAUUGGGGAUAGCUUGUGGAAACACAGGAUAAUACCGAAUAAGCUUGUCGGGUUGCGGCCCGAUAAGGAAAGAUCCGUUUGGAUCGUCCGGAGAUGAGCCCGCGGCUGAUUAGCUUGUUGGCGGGGUAAUGGCCCACCAAGGCGAUGAUCAGUAGCCGGCCUGAGAGGGUGAACGGCCACAUUGGGACUGAGAUACGGCCCAGACUCCUACGGGAGGCAG
RNAcentral lists this ribosomal RNA (324 nucleotides) under uncultured Spirochaetota bacterium. Its description in RNAcentral is "bacterial SSU rRNA". It matches the Rfam family "Bacterial small subunit ribosomal RNA", at positions 29 to 351 of the family's 1533-position model. Lineage: Bacteria; Pseudomonadati; Spirochaetota. The record is from RNAcentral.